AUUGAACGCUGGCGGCAUGCUUUACACAUGCAAGUCGAACGGCAGCGCGGGCUUCGGCCUGGCGGCGAGUGGCGAACGGGUGAGUAAUACAUCGGAACGUGCCCAGGAGUGGGGGAUAGCUCGGCGAAAGCCGGAUUAAUACCGCAUACGACCUGAGGGUGAAAGCGGGGGAUCUUCGGACCUCGCGCUAUUGGAGCGGCCGAUGGCAGAUUAGCUAGUUGGUGGGGUAAAGGCCUACCAAGGCGACGAUCUGUAGCUGGUCUGAGAGGACGACCAGCCACACUGGGACUGAGACACGGCCCAGACUCCUACGGGAGGCAGCAGUGGGGAAUUUUGGACAAUGGGCGAAAGCCUGAUCCAGCAAUGCCGCGUGUGUGAUGAGGGCCUUCGGGUUGUAAAGCACUUUUGGCGGGAACGAAAAGGACUGUGCCAAUACCACGGUUCGAUGACGGUACCCGCAGAAUAAGCACCGGCUAACUACGUG
Molecule: ribosomal RNA, 484 nt
Filed under: uncultured bacterium
Lineage: Bacteria
Description: partial 16S ribosomal RNA
Rfam family: Bacterial small subunit ribosomal RNA
Source: RNAcentral